This is a long non-coding RNA of Phragmites australis (common reed), 321 nucleotides long. RefSeq lists it as uncharacterized. Lineage: Eukaryota; Viridiplantae; Streptophyta; Magnoliopsida; Poales; Poaceae. The record is from RefSeq and is a predicted model, not a curated record. The transcript has 2 exons.
UAUAUAUGGCAUGGUUUACGAAUGUAAUGGAUGCACGCGAGCUGUCAUGCUGCCGUCUCUUCUUGGUUGUUCAAUCCUGUAUUCUACCAUUAAGCGACGAGGUGCUGCUCGUUUCAGAAACUGUCGGAUGGGAAUGGAAUUGACUGCUUAACUGUAAGGAUUCAAAGACAUACAAGAGCACUACGAAUGGAAAUUAAUACAGACGUCAAAUUUUCAGAUUAACACACGCCUCAAUUGUUGAGAUACAUAAAAAGAAAAUGGGAAACAGGGAAGCAGCAAAGAAAUGACCUUUUGGAUUGACUGUGCAGUGCGUUAGGGCCU